UUCUUUUAAGAAACGGUCGCGAGGCAGCAGUGUGUAUUAUUUUUGUACCUGUAAUAAGUUGUUUGAAUAGUGACCAAGAGCGACUCGUAAAAGAAAAUGAAUCAUAUACAGUUAAAUAUCAUCGUCAAAUUAGAAGCCAUGUUUUCUCAAUCUAAAGAUGAUGUGAAGCUGGAAUGGAUGUACAAAGGUCCAAAUGCAACAGUCGAUCGUGAAGAAUAUCUUUUGGGUAGAGCAGUAGAUAAAACACUAGAACAACUUAAUGAAGAAGAAAAACAAAAACAACUUGGUUUAGCUCAACAACCUAAGAAUCAUGUAGAACACGAAUGCAUCCCUCCUUCCAUAAGAGACUAUAAGAAACAACAAUUAUUAGCUGAACAAGUCGACAUUCAAAAUAAGCUACAGGAAGAUCCAUUAAUAGCUAUUAAAAAGAGGGAGGAAGAAUGUAGAAGACAAUUCUUGAAUAACCCUGUGCAACUAAAAAAAUUGCAAGAAGCACUAGUGGCUAAGAAAAAUCUGAAAAAAGAUAAGAAAAAGAAAUCUAAGAAAAAACAUGCCAGUAGUGAUUCUGAUAGCGACAUCGAUUCUAAACUAGUUGAAAAACUGAAGUUAUUAAAAAGGUUUCCUACAAAACUGUCUUUAGAGUUGAAGCUUAAGAGUAAAAAAAAAGUAAAAUCUGAAGAAGAUAGCAUUCUUGAUACUAUAUUAAUGCACAAAUUUAAUGCAUUCAAAUCAAAAUUGUCUGAUGAAGAUAUGCAAGACAUUUUGGCAGGUAAAAUUACAGACAGUGAAUCAGAUAGCAUUAGUGAUAAGGAAGAAAAUGAUGCUGUAGAUACAAAAAAAAGAAAGAAAAACAAAAAAAAAGAUAAAAAGAAAAACAAAAGGCAACAUAAAAGAUAUGAAAAUGACAGUGACAGUGAAAAGAAAGACAGGAUUAAAAACAAAUCCACUAAAAAGCACAAAAGUGAUUUAUCUAGCAGUUCCUCAGAUUCAGAAGAAAGUAAUUUCAAAAAGCAAGCUAAGAGUAAUCAUACACAGAGGCCCAAAGAAAUAACUAAAGGAAAAGAAGAGCAAACUACUAGUAAGGUUUCAGAACACAGACAAAAUAUAAAUUUUAAUAAAAACCACAAAAAUACAAAUCCAAAUUCACCUUUAAUUAAGAAUUAUUCUAGUUUGUUUAAGGAAAAUAUGUCAUAUAAAGAUAGUUCAAGGCAUUAUUAUAAGAAUUCUGAUAAAAAUGAAAAUAACAGAUCCAAAAGAAAAAGUGAAUCCAGUCAUGGAAAGAAAGGCCAGAAUAAAGGAAGGGAAAGCUCUAGUGAUAAUGACCAAAAUGAGAAAAGGAAAAGACUACUAUCAGAUAAAGAUUUAGAAACCAAAAAGGAUAACACCACUAGGGUUAAAUCUUCUAACAAAAAAGACACACGAAUGUACCCUGAAAAUCCAUACAAUUCACGAAAGUACAGUGAUAGUUCAUCAAAAGGAUAUCCUGAACUAAAGUCAUCUAAACAAAGUUAUCAGUCAUCAGAUUCAAAUUCUGAUUCAGAUUCGAAAAAUAAAAAACGCAAUUAUGGUUUAAUAAGUGGCGAUGGUAAAAGGCUAAAAUCUACUACAAAGAUAAAACAUUUUAAUGAACAAAAAAGUACUUCCAUAAAGUCGCCAGAAUUAAGGGAAUCUUCUGAUAAACGUUCUGGAAGGCCUAAAUGUAAAGAAUUAUCACGUGAAGAAAGAGAAAAACGAAUAAAAGAAAUGAUGGCCAAUGCUGCUUGGAGGGACAAAGAAAGAGCUGAAGCAGUAAGGAUUCAUAGGGAAAGUGAAUCCAAUCAGUCCAAAAUACCUGAUGAAUAUAACCCCGAGUUUCUUCAUAAAGAAUUACUGAAAUCUGCUAAUUCUGCUAGUGUUGAAAGUAGAAUCAAAGCUAACGUUAACAAUAUUCAGAGAUCCAGUAGAGAUAUGAGUAGUAAUUUUUCUAAAAGGAAUUAAAGAAACUUCGACUGUUUAGACUGGUUUCAUUCUCAAACUGAAAAUGAUGUUGGAAUAUAAUAGAAAUUGAGAACUCAAAA
Molecule: unclassified non-coding RNA, 2057 nt
Filed under: Agrilus planipennis (emerald ash borer)
Lineage: Eukaryota; Metazoa; Arthropoda; Insecta; Coleoptera; Buprestidae
Description: uncharacterized protein DDB_G0283697-like, transcript variant X1
Source: RNAcentral